AUUGAACGCUGGCGGCAGGCCUAAUACAUGCAAGUCGAACGGUAACAUAAAAGAGCUUGCUUCUUUGAUGACGAGUGGCGGACGGGUGAGUAAUAUUUGGGAAACUACCUGAUAGAGGGGGACAACAGUUGGAAACGACUGCUAAUACCGCAUAAGCCCACAGAGCCGCAGUGGCUCAGGGGGGAAAAAGGAGCAAUUCGCUUCAGGAUGGAUUCGCGUCCAAUUAGCUGGAUGGUGAGGUAACGGCCCACCAUGGCGACGAUUGGUAGCCGGACUGAGAGGUUUGAACGGCCACAUUGGGGACUGAGAUACGGCCCAGACUCCUACGGGGAGGCAGCAGUGGGGGAAUAUUGGGCAAUGGGGGGAAACCCUGACCCAGCAACGCCGCGUGAAGGAAGAAGGCUUUCGGGUUGUAAACUUCUUUUACCAGGGACGAAGGACGUGACGGUACCUGGAGAAAAAGCCACGGCUAACUACGUG
Molecule: ribosomal RNA, 480 nt
Filed under: uncultured bacterium
Lineage: Bacteria
Description: bacterial SSU rRNA
Rfam family: Bacterial small subunit ribosomal RNA
Source: RNAcentral